This 254-nucleotide ribosomal RNA is filed under the name uncultured bacterium. Its description in RNAcentral is "partial 16S ribosomal RNA". It matches the Rfam family "Bacterial small subunit ribosomal RNA", at positions 524 to 776 of the family's 1533-position model. The record is from RNAcentral.
UACGUAGGGGGCGAGCGUUGUCCGGAUUUAUUGGGCGUAAAGAGUGCGUAGGUGGUUUAAUAAGUUACUGGUGGGAAAUCGGGACUCAACCCCGUGGAAGUCAGUAAUACUAUUAAACUAGAGGACCGGAGAGGUUAACGGAAUUCUAUGUGUAGCGGUAAAAUGCGUAAAUAUAUAGAGGAACAUCAAUUGGCGAAGGCAGUUAACUAUUCGGCUCCUGACGUUGAGGCACGAAAGCGUGGGGAGCAAGACGG